UACGUAGGGGGCUAGCGUUGUCCGGAAUCAUUGGGCGUAAAGCGCGUGUAGGCGGCCCGGUAAGUCCGCUGUGAAAGUCGGGGGCUCAACCCUCGGAUGCCGAUCGAUACUGUCAGGCUAGAGUCCGGAAGAGGCGAGUGGAAUUCCUGGUGUAGCGGUGAAAUGCGCAGAUAUCAGGAGGAACACCAAUUGCGAAGGCAGCUCGCUGGGACGUUACUGACGCUGAGACGCGAAAGCGUGGGGAGCAAACAGG
This 253-nucleotide ribosomal RNA is filed under the name uncultured bacterium. RNAcentral describes it as "partial 16S ribosomal RNA". It matches the Rfam family "Bacterial small subunit ribosomal RNA", at positions 524 to 776 of the family's 1533-position model. The record is from RNAcentral.